UUGAUAGGAGCAUUUUAAUGUGGUACAUUUGAGUAAAUGAUGGUGAAAUGAGCAUUAGGUCCACACUUACCUACAAAUGGUGGAGAAAAAUGGAAAUGUACUAAAAUGUCAAUUUUACACAUUUUCCUACUCCGGCUAGGAGAAACCAAGCCAAGCAAGGAAGAAGGAGCGGCUGCCUGACCAAAUGAACUUCAAAUGAGCUGAAACUCUGCAGAUCUAUUCUAGACAUCCUAAGAAACAUUUCUUAUGAAGAGUGCAAGGGCCAAACAGAAGUGUAAGGCCUUCAAACAGUCAGCCCAAUUUUCAGCAGAGGCAAAACUAGAAAACUGGACCUGUAAGGAGUCCAGCAGAGAUUCUGGCCCAAAUACAUGGAAAUAAAUUCUGAAAAUUUGACAGAAUGAUAUACACUCAUGGUAGAUCAUUUCAUCUGAAGAAGUCACGGACAGAAUCUAAACUUUCGGUGGAGAUAAAAUUGCAGUAAAAAUGAGCAGAAAAUCCACCACCACCAUCACCUAAAAACAUUCCAUGUUUUAGGGUGUAAUCAUCAUGUUUUCUCCAUCAUUACUCACACUAAUCCACCAUCAUCAUCACCCAAAAAUAUUCCAUGUUUUAGGGUGUAAUCAUCAUGUUUUCUCCAUCAUUACUCACACUAAUUUACUCCAUCUUUUUCAAUUUCACUCUUCUUUCUCUUCCCUAUAUAAACACAUUCUCCUCUCACUCUCAAAAACACAUUUCUUCAUCCAUUCCAUCUUCUUUAUCUCUCCAUUUCCUCUCCAUAUUUCUUUCCAUUCUCUAGUUUUCUUGUUCUUCAUUUUCAAGCCAAGAGAAAGAGAAACCAUGCAAUACAUCAAUUUCCUAACCGCCAUCCACCCUUGUGUCGUCCCUAGAAGAUUGCUUGCUUUCAAGGAUCUUCAAGUUCUUCGUCUCAAGGCUUUAUCAUUCAUCUUUCAAGGUGUAUUAUAUCCUUUCUCUUGUUUUCUUUGUUUGAUUUUGUAAGACCAUGAAUUCUAGUUAACAAAUAAUGUUAAGGGCAAAGUUUAAAGCCCGUUUAUAUGUUUUGAAAUAAAGUUGUAAUUUCUUUGUGUUGAUUUCUAUGUUGCUUAUGUGAGAUUGUUCGAUUGAAUUUGAUUGAUAGAAAACUUUUAUAUGUUUAUCUUAUUUGGGUCGACACUUAUAGGAUUUGCAUGUAAUUGGUGCUAGAUUUAGGUAAACGAUUCACCUAAUAGUUUUGUGAACCUAAAUCACAAGUAGUAAAGGCUUUGGACAAAUGUCGAAUUCAAUUGAAGAGGAUUGCAAAUAGGUGAACUUUUUCAUAACUAGGUUGUGCACUUAAGUUGAUAACCUUUCUCUAUGCUUCUUGCAUUGAACAUGUUUUGAUUAGCUAGCUUUCUAGACUAUGAUUGCAUGUUUAAUAGGAUUGAUCUAGGUGCUUUCACUUAGGUUAAUUAGUAAAGGAAAGUAAAAUAUGGGAAAUCAUUUGCUUCAAAUGUUUCACAUGAUCGACUUCUUUCUCAUGACAUUGAAAAUCAACUAUAGGAAUUGUAAUUGGAUUUCUUGCUUAUGGAUGUGGUUUUGAUCUUUGUUCCUUGCGUUCCACCCCUGUAUAUAUGUUUUUACAUUUUCUUUAUUUUAUUUAUUUUAAUUUUCAAUUCUAUAAUUCUUAAACCCCCCCUUUUAUUUCGUUACUUGUAUAUAUUUCUAUUCUUUAUUUUAUUUUUGUAAAUAAUACUUCAUUAUUUUAAUUCUUUAUUUGUUUAUACAAUUGUAUAUAUUUAUAUUCUUUAUUUUAUUUUUGUAAAUAAUACUUUUCUUUAUUUGUUUCACAAUUACAAGUGUACCCUCAAUCCCCGGAUAGAACGAUCCCUAUUUACCAUAUACUAACGAUGACAUUUUACAGGGUUAAAUUGCGCGCUCAUUUUGAGCGCGUCAGAAUUAAUUGCUAAUUAAUUCCGGCUCAUAUCAAUAUGCCGCCGCACGCACGAAGGAGGAAAAAAACCGACGGUGAGUGUGCUCUCUCCCGGCCGAAUGUAGCUGGCUUUUCCGCCGCUGCGUUUCUGCCCGGGAGAGGAUGGUGUUUCUGAGUAGUGGAGGGGUCUCAAGGCAGCGGCGUGGCUCUGGGAGGGUGGAUGGGUCGUCGUUUCCGGUUUGGGUGGAUCGUUUUCGAUUUGUCUCUAUCGGAUCGAGGGAACGACAUCGGAGGUGCAGCGACGAAACUUGGAGUUCCGGCGGUGGUUUCUAAUGUCAUCGACCUGCUUUUUGGGCUGUGGCUGAUCAAAUCUGAACGAGGAGUUACCGAUCCCGAAAGGGCUCUGUCGCGGUCUCGGCUUUAGACCUGUUUGAGGUCGUCCGCUUGAUGCAGGGGCUGUUUGCGGGGUGUCAGGGCGAUGCAGCGGCGGAGGAAUUCGGCGAGGUGCAGUUUUGACGCAUGGAGACAGAGUGGUGGCUUUGGGGCUCGCUGGUAGCAGGAGGGUUUGCCUGCCGCGCUUUCCCUUUGCUGGGGGUGGUAGUCUUUGGGCUGGACCUAUGUUCUUGAGCCUCUCUGGUGUUGUUUUGUGUACUGUUGUUUAGUUAUUUGCUGUUUGGUUUUGUUGGUUUUUAGUUGGGAAUAAGUCCCUCCUCUUGUGAGCGAGGGUUUAGGUGUUUCUGGGUAGUCAAUGCCAUUGUUUGGUGUCUUGGUCGUUUUGGUGGGUCUGGUCUUUUGGCGGUGCUUUCUGGUUAUCAGCGUGAUGGUGAAUCACUCUUACACGUGGCCUGGCUGUUUUGGGACGCGGCGUCCAAAUGGGUGGAAACAGUUCAUCUUAAUGUUGGUGGCGGGGUUGUAUCGUUAUACAUAGGUCUGGUUAUAGGUUAAUUUGGGUGGGGUUGAGUUUUUUUAGCUCAUGUAAGUCCCUCUCGUUGAAAGUCUGAAACUUU
This is a long non-coding RNA of Rosa rugosa (rugosa rose), 2913 nucleotides long. RefSeq lists it as uncharacterized. Lineage: Eukaryota; Viridiplantae; Streptophyta; Magnoliopsida; Rosales; Rosaceae. The record is from RefSeq and is a predicted model, not a curated record. The transcript is spliced from 3 exons.